Molecule: long non-coding RNA, 1216 nt
Organism: Oxyura jamaicensis (ruddy duck)
Lineage: Eukaryota; Metazoa; Chordata; Aves; Anseriformes; Anatidae
Exons: 7
Source: RefSeq, a predicted model, not a curated record
AAGAAGUGCCAGAAACGGAGCACACGUGAGAAGCCAGGCUGCAGUGCUGGACAAAUGCAUAGACACACUUGAAUCCUGCCAGUGAAGCACUUGUCCCUUGCCUUGGCAAGAUAUGGCAUGCCCAGAGAGGAAUAUACUUGUGCCUGUGCCAGAGCUGUAAUCAUCAUGUGGGUUCCCAGCGUGUCUCAACACUCCGAGCUGAGCCCUGUUUUGAAGGAGUAUUAAGAUAUAUUUUGAUUCUGUUUCGAGGCAAUGUCUGCUUGCAAGUGCUGCAGAAGGACAAACAGGAGAGUAUUCUGCUGUUAUUUAACACACCGAGGUGUUUCUUAACACGUAGGCUGAAGGCUGCAGGCUCAUUGUCGGUGAAUAGGAAAUUCUGAAAAGCAGUAGGAUCAGGUCCCAGCUUUUAAGCUCACUUUAAAUGGAGUUCUGCUAACAGAAAAUGACAGUUUGUGAGCACAGAAGUGGUGAGUGUUUCAGCUGAGAAUGCCAAGAUGCUGCCUCACAGCUUGCAACAGCUGCUAGCAGAGCAAGUCAGGAUCUUUAGUCACAGCUUGCAAAGCUGAAGGCUGAGACUGGCGAAGUGAUGGCUCAUGGUUUACAAGACCUGACAGCCAGCGACCAGUGCUCUGAUGCAGAUUGACCUCGGUGUUCGGUAUUCCCAUCAGGAACUGUGCUAGCAGAUUUUCAGGAAGGAAGCCAGGUUGAAAUUGCCAGUAGUUGAAAUGGACAUUGAAAACUGGGGGCUUCAGCAGCUUAGUGGAAGAUAAGAGUGAACCAUGUCUUAAGAUGACUAUUUUAAACUGUUUUUUUCAUUUCUGUAGAUUGUACAGAGCUGCACCAGCAGAUAAGGACUGUGAGACCUUUUUGCAGCCUGCCAGCCUCCUUAUGGAAAGUGUUAAAAGCCACGUGAGAGAGGUGUAACCAGAAGACUUCAACCUUCCAAGCCAGCAUUUUGGCUUUGAGACUAAGAUAACACACAGGAAAAUCUAUAUGCUGCUGGAAGCAUUCCUAACUGCAUUAGAUCUUCCUUAUCAAUCUAAGCCUGCCUUUGGAAUUGUGCCAUGGAUUCCCAGGCUUGUGUUCAGGAAAUGUUUCUGAUAAUAAUGGCCUUCUGGAAGCACCGUGCUGAAAUCCUGUAUUUCUGAACGUGUGAGUGGUUAGGGAGAGCCCAUCAGCAGUGACCCUUGUUCUGGAGUUGAGAUCCCCAGUGCUG